AAGACCUUGCGCUUUUGGAGCGGCCGAUGUCUGAUUAGCUUGUUGGUAAGGUAAAAGCUUACCAAGGCUUCGAUCAGUAGCUGGUCUGAGAGGACGACCAGCCACACUGGGACUGAGACACGGCCCAGGCUCCUACGGGAGGCAGCAGUGGGGAAUUUUGGACAAUGGGGGCAACCCUGAUCCAGCCAUGCCGCGUGAGUGAAGAAGGCCUUCGGGUUGUAAAGCUCUUUCAGCCGGAACGAAACGGUUACGGUUAAUACCCGUGACUACUGACGGUACCGGAAGAAGAAGCACCGGCUAACUACGUGCCAGCAGCCGCGGUAAUACGUAGGGUGCAAGCGUUAAUCGGAAUUACUGGGCGUAAAGCGUGCGCAGGUGGUUUUGUAAGUCAGAUGUGAAAUCCCCGGGCUUAACCUGGGAACU
Molecule: ribosomal RNA, 423 nt
Filed under: uncultured bacterium
Lineage: Bacteria
Description: bacterial SSU rRNA
Rfam family: Bacterial small subunit ribosomal RNA
Source: RNAcentral